This 57-nucleotide transfer RNA is filed under the name Loxodonta africana (African savanna elephant). It matches the Rfam family "tRNA", at positions 8 to 63 of the family's 71-position model. From Rfam's summary of the family: Transfer RNA (tRNA) molecules are approximately 80 nucleotides in length. Their secondary structure includes four short double-helical elements and three loops (D, anti-codon, and T loops). Further hydrogen bonds mediate the characteristic L-shaped molecular structure. tRNAs have two regions of fundamental functional importance: the anti-codon, which is responsible for specific mRNA codon recognition, and the 3' end, to which the tRNAs corresponding amino acid is attached (by aminoacyl-tRNA synthetases). tRNAs cope with the degeneracy of the genetic code in two manners: having more than one tRNA (with a specific anti-codon) for a particular amino acid; and 'wobble' base-pairing, i.e. permitting non-standard base-pairing at the 3rd anti-codon position. Lineage: Eukaryota; Metazoa; Chordata; Mammalia; Proboscidea; Elephantidae. The record is from Rfam by way of RNAcentral.
UGGCGUAAUGGUUAAGUGCUUGGCUGCUAACCAAGAGGUCAGUGGUUUGAACCCACU